GCAAGUCGAGGGGUAACAGGAGAAAGCUUGCUUUCUUGCUGACGACCGGCGCACGGGUGCGUAACGCGUAUGCAACCUACCCACAACUGGAGCAUAGCCCGGAGAAAUUCGGAUUAAUACUCCAUAAUGCAGGGGUACCUCCUGGUACUAUUUGCUAAAGAUUUAUCGGUUGUGGAUGGGCAUGCGUCUGAUUAGUUUGUUGGUGAGGUAACGGCUCACCAAGACUACGAUCAGUAGGGGGUCUGAGAGGAUGAUC
This 256-nucleotide ribosomal RNA is filed under the name uncultured bacterium. Its description in RNAcentral is "partial 16S ribosomal RNA". It matches the Rfam family "Bacterial small subunit ribosomal RNA", at positions 57 to 305 of the family's 1533-position model. The record is from RNAcentral.